AACUUUGCGCAGUGGCGAUAUUCUAACCAAUGAUCGAAUAGAGAGGUGGAAUUAUUGCUAGUUGAAAACUAUUCCCAAUACCCCGCCUGGACGACGUGAAAUACCGUCGGCCAAGGCAAUUUCUGAAGGCUUCACACGAAG
Molecule: small nuclear RNA, 141 nt
Filed under: Tigriopus californicus
Lineage: Eukaryota; Metazoa; Arthropoda; Copepoda; Harpacticoida; Harpacticidae
Description: U4 spliceosomal RNA
Rfam family: U4 spliceosomal RNA
About the family: U4 small nuclear RNA (U4 snRNA) is a component of the major U2-dependent spliceosome. The structure of U4 snRNA from yeast and human has been reported. U4 snRNA presents a k-turn RNA motif in the 5p-SL related to recognition of Snu13 protein.
Source: Rfam by way of RNAcentral